Ursus americanus (American black bear) is the source of this 107-nucleotide small nuclear RNA. NCBI's taxonomy places the organism in Eukaryota, Metazoa, Chordata, Mammalia, Carnivora, Ursidae. The record is from Ensembl.
AUGCUUGCUUUGGCAGCGCAUAAACUAAAAUUAGAAAGAUAUUCAGAAUAGUAUCAUGGUCCCUACACAAGGAUGUCACAGAAAUUUGUGAAGCGUUCCAUAUUAGA